Molecule: unclassified non-coding RNA, 225 nt
Filed under: Hevea brasiliensis (rubber tree)
Lineage: Eukaryota; Viridiplantae; Streptophyta; Magnoliopsida; Malpighiales; Euphorbiaceae
Source: RNAcentral
AAGUAACCAUUGGUUGCACUACAAAUAAUCCCAUUCAGAGGACUAUUUGUGCACCCACAUAAUGAUUGUGAAGCCUCGUUACCACUUAUUUCCUCAACAGGUGUAGGAGGGUGAUUGGCAACAGACACCUCAUCGAGAUGGUUUUCAAGUCCAAUCUGCUCCCCAGAAUACACAUCUUGUAGUCCCCAUGAGUCAUCCACACCAGGCCAUGGGAUGGCCACAGAC